ACACCGGCGGCCCGAGUGGUGAUCGUGAUUAUUGGGUCUAAAGGGUCCGUAGCCUGUUUGGUCAGUCCUCCGGGAAAUCUGACAGCUUAACUGUUAGGCUUUCGGAGGAUCCUGCCAGACUUGGAACCGGGAGAGGUAAGAGGUACUACAGGGGUAGGAGUGAAAUCUUGUAAUCCCUGUGGGACCACCUGUGGCGAAGGCGUCUUACCAGAACGGGUUCGACGGUGAGGGACGAAAGCUGGGGGCACGAACCGGAUUAGAUACCCGGGUAGUCCCAGCCGUAAACGAUGCUCGCUAGGUGUCAGGCAUGGCGCGACCGUGUCUGGUGCCGCAGGGAAGCCGUGAAGCGAGCCACCUGGGAAGUACGGCCGCAAGGCUGAA
Molecule: ribosomal RNA, 381 nt
Filed under: uncultured archaeon
Lineage: Archaea
Description: bacterial SSU rRNA
Rfam family: Archaeal small subunit ribosomal RNA
Source: RNAcentral